RNAcentral lists this ribosomal RNA (240 nucleotides) under uncultured bacterium. RNAcentral describes it as "partial 16S ribosomal RNA". It matches the Rfam family "Bacterial small subunit ribosomal RNA", at positions 94 to 334 of the family's 1533-position model. The record is from RNAcentral.
AGCGGCGGACGGGUGAGUAACGCGUGGGUAACCUGCCUCGUACAGGGGGAUAACAGUUGGAAACGGCUGCUAAUACCGCAUAAGCGCACAGUACCGCAUGGUACGGUGUGAAAAACUCCGGUGGUAUGAGAUGGACCCGCGUCUGAUUAGCUUGUUGGUGAGGUAACGGCCCACCAAGGCAACGAUCAGUAGCCGGCCUGAGAGGGUGACCGGCCACAUUGGGACUGAGACACGGCCCAA